RNAcentral lists this ribosomal RNA (116 nucleotides) under Bacillus andreraoultii. The record is from RNAcentral. Lineage: Bacteria; Bacillati; Bacillota; Bacilli; Caryophanales; Bacillaceae.
UCCGGUGAUCAUGGCGAGAAGGUCACACCCGUUCCCAUCUCGAACACGGAAGUUAAGCUUCUCAGCGCCGAUGGUAUUGAAGGCCUUGCCUUUGUGAGAGUAGGACGUUGCCGGGC